This 466-nucleotide ribosomal RNA is filed under the name uncultured Desulfobulbus sp. RNAcentral's name for it is "bacterial SSU rRNA". It matches the Rfam family "Bacterial small subunit ribosomal RNA", at positions 338 to 795 of the family's 1533-position model. Lineage: Bacteria; Pseudomonadati; Thermodesulfobacteriota; Desulfobulbia; Desulfobulbales; Desulfobulbaceae. The record is from RNAcentral.
CCUACGGGUGGCAGCAGUGAGGAAUAUUGCGCCAUGGGGGAAACCCUGACGCAGCGACGCCGCGUGAGUGAGGAAGGCCUUCGGGUCGUAAAGCUCUGUCAAGAGGAAAGAAGUGUACAAUGGCUAAUACCUGUUGUAUUUGACGGUACCUCUAAAGGAAGCACCGGCUAACUCCGUGCCAGCAGCCGCGGUAAUACGGAGGGUGCAAGCGUUGUUCGGAAUCACUGGGCGUAAAGGGCGCGUAGGCGGCUUGGUAAGUCAGAUGUGAAAGCCCACGGCUUAACUGUGGAAGUGCAUUUGAAACUGUCAGGCUUGAGUACCAGAGGGGAAAGUGGAAUUCCCGGUGUAGAGGUGAAAUUCGUAGAUAUCGGGAGGAAUACCGGUGGCGAAGGCGACUUUCUGGCUGGAUACUGACGCUGAGGCGCGAAAGCGUGGGGAGCAAACAGGAUUAGAUACCCCUGUAGUC